UGCGAUGCUUCAGAAACCAGGUGU
This 24-nucleotide non-coding RNA is filed under the name Rattus norvegicus (Norway rat). Lineage: Eukaryota; Metazoa; Chordata; Mammalia; Rodentia; Muridae. The record is from RNAcentral.